Molecule: ribosomal RNA, 468 nt
Filed under: uncultured bacterium
Lineage: Bacteria
Description: partial 16S ribosomal RNA
Rfam family: Bacterial small subunit ribosomal RNA
Source: RNAcentral
GACGAACGCUGGCGGCGUGCCUAAUACAUGCAAGUCGAACGAACAGGCGCUGAUUUUGUUCGUUCCUCGAGUGCCGCACACGUGUGUAUCACGUGUGUAACCUGUCCUUGUCUUUGUGAUAUCUCUUCGAGACAGGGGCGAAUACCGCGUAUGAGCUCCCGCUGCAUGUGGGUCGUUAGAGAGUGUCGGCGGUGGGGGCUCGUCUCGCGGCUUAUGCGCUAGAUGGUGGAGUAGUUGCUUACCAAGGGUUUGACGGGUAGGCGGCCUGAGAGGGUGACCAGGCACAUUGGGACUGAGAGACGGCGCAGAAGGCUACGGGAGGCAGCAGUGGAGAAUAUUGCACAAUAGGCGGAAGUCAGAGGCGACAACGCCCGGUGCGGGAAGACGGCUUUCGGGUUAUAAACCGCUGUCGCCGGUGACGAAGCGUGAGUGACGGUAAUGGGUAAAAAAGCACCGGCUAACUACGUG